GGGACUGUCCGGGGACAGAUUAACAGGAUUAGAUACCCUGGUAGUCCACGCCCUAAACGAUGGAUACUAGGCGUAAGAGGUAUCGACCCCUCUUGUGCCGCAGCUAACGCAUUAAGUAUCCCGCCUGGGGAGUACGGCCGCAAGGUUGAAACUCAAAUGAAUUGACGGGGACCCGCACAAGCGGUGGAGCAUGUGGAUUAAUUCGAUACUAACCGAAGAACCUUACCCAGACUUGACAUCGAUGGUAAGCCGUAGAAAUAUGGCCCUCUCCCAAAAGGAGACCUGAAGACACUUGUUGCAUGGCUGUCGUCAGCUCGUGCCGUGAGGUGUACGGUUAAGUCCGCCAACGAGCGCAACCCUCGUCCUGUGUUACCAGCAAGUAAAGUUGGGGACUCACAGGAGACCGCCGGUGUAAACCGGAGGAAGGUGAGGAUGACGUCAAGUCAGCAUGGCAGUUACGUCUGGGGCUUCACACAUGCUACAAUGGGCGCAACAAAGGGCAGCGAUACCGCGAGGUGGAGCCAAUCCCAAAAAUACGCCCCCAGUUCAGAUUGCAGUCUGCAACUCGACUGCAUGAAGGCGGAAUCGCUAGUAAACGCAGGUCAGCUAUACUGCGUUGAAUACGUUCCCGGGUCUUGUACACACCGCCCGUCAAGUCACCUGAAUUGUCUUCACCCGAAGUCCGUGGCCUAACCGCAAGGAAGGAGCGGCCGAAGGUGAGGGGAGUAAGGGGGACUAAGUCGUAACAAGGUAACCAAUCU
Molecule: ribosomal RNA, 761 nt
Filed under: uncultured bacterium
Lineage: Bacteria
Description: bacterial SSU rRNA
Rfam family: Bacterial small subunit ribosomal RNA
Source: RNAcentral